RNAcentral lists this ribosomal RNA (301 nucleotides) under uncultured bacterium. RNAcentral's name for it is "partial 16S ribosomal RNA". It matches the Rfam family "Bacterial small subunit ribosomal RNA", at positions 509 to 808 of the family's 1533-position model. The record is from RNAcentral.
CAGUAGCCGCGGGAAUACGUAGGUCCCGAGCGUUGUCCGGAUUUAUUGGGCGUAAAGCGAGCGCAGGCGGUUUGAUAAGUCUGAAGUUAAAGGCUGUGGCUCAACCAUAGUUCGCUUUGGAAACUGCCAAACUUGAGUGCAGAAGGGGAGAGUGGAAUUCCAUGUGUAGCGGUGAAAUGCGUAGAUAUAUGGAGGAGCACCGGUGGCGAAAGCGGCUCUCUGGUCUGUAACUGACGCUGAGGCUCGAAAGCGUGGGGAGCGAACAGGAUUAGAUACCCGAGUAGUCCCUGUCUCUUAUACA